This 657-nucleotide ribosomal RNA is filed under the name Pantoea sp. AaD41b. RNAcentral's name for it is "bacterial SSU rRNA". It matches the Rfam family "Bacterial small subunit ribosomal RNA", at positions 27 to 675 of the family's 1533-position model. Lineage: Bacteria; Pseudomonadati; Pseudomonadota; Gammaproteobacteria; Enterobacterales; Erwiniaceae. The record is from RNAcentral.
GAUUGAACGCUGGCGGCAGGCCUAACACAUGCAAGUCGAACGGUAGCACAGAGAGCUUGCUCUCGGGUGACGAGUGGCGGACGGGUGAGUAAUGUCUGGGAAACUGCCUGAUGGAGGGGGAUAACUACUGGAAACGGUAGCUAAUACCGCAUAACGUCGCAAGACCAAAGUGGGGGACCUUCGGGCCUCAUGCCAUCAGAUGUGCCCAGAUGGGAUUAGCUUGUAGGUGAGGUAACGGCUCACCUAGGCGACGAUCCCUAGCUGGUCUGAGAGGAUGACCAGCCACACUGGAACUGAGACACGGUCCAGACUCCUACGGGAGGCAGCAGUGGGGAAUAUUGCACAAUGGGCGCAAGCCUGAUGCAGCCAGGUCCGCGUGUAUGAAGAAGGCCUUCGGGUUGUAAAGUACUUUCAGCGAGGAGGAAGGCGAUAAGGUUAAUAACCUUGUCGAUUGACGUUACUCGCAGAAGAAGCACCGGCUAACUCCGUGCCAGCAGCCGCGGUAAUACGGAGGGUGCAAGCGUUAAUCGGAAUUACUGGGCGUAAAGCGCACGCAGGCGGUCUGUCAAGUCGGAUGUGAAAUCCCCGGGCUCAACCUGGGAACUGCAUCCAAAACUGGCAGGCUAGAGUCUGUAGAGGGGGGUAGAAUUCCAGGUG